GUGCUGGCUUCGGCAGCACAUAUACUAAAAUUGGAACGAUACAGAGAAGAUCAGCAUGACCCCUGCGCAAGGAUGACACAUUCGUGAAAGCGUUCCGUAUUAAA
This 104-nucleotide small nuclear RNA is filed under the name Jaculus jaculus (lesser Egyptian jerboa). The record is from RNAcentral. Lineage: Eukaryota; Metazoa; Chordata; Mammalia; Rodentia; Dipodidae.